UACGUAGGUGGCAAGCGUUGUCCGGAUUUACUGGGCGUAAAGAGCGCGCAGGCGGUCGUUCAAGUCGCGUGUGAAAGCCCCCGGCUCAACUGGGGAGGGUCACGCGAUACUGAUCGACUCGAAGGCAGGAGAGGGUAGUGGAAUUCCCGGUGUAGUGGUGAAAUGCGUAGAGAUCGGCAGGAACACCCAGGGGGAAACCAGCGGACUGGGCAUCGGCUGACGCUCAGGUGCGACAGCGUGGGGAGCGAACCGGG
RNAcentral lists this ribosomal RNA (254 nucleotides) under uncultured bacterium. RNAcentral's name for it is "partial 16S ribosomal RNA". It matches the Rfam family "Bacterial small subunit ribosomal RNA", at positions 524 to 777 of the family's 1533-position model. The record is from RNAcentral.